UACGAAGGGUGCAAACGUUGCUCGGAAUUAUUGGGCGUAAAGCGCACGUAGGCGGCUUGGCAAGUCGGAUGUGAAAUCCCUCGGCUCAACCAAGGAAGUGCAUCCGAAACUGCUGAGCUUGAGUACUUAAGAGGAUCGCGGAAUUCCCGGUGUAGAGGUGAAAUUCGUAGAUAUCGGGAGGAACACCAGUGGCGAAGGCGGGUCUCUGGGCAGUAACUGACGCUGAGAAGCGAAAGCGUGGGGAGCGAACAGG
This 253-nucleotide ribosomal RNA is filed under the name uncultured bacterium. Its description in RNAcentral is "partial 16S ribosomal RNA". It matches the Rfam family "Bacterial small subunit ribosomal RNA", at positions 524 to 776 of the family's 1533-position model. The record is from RNAcentral.